CCGAAGUGUAGGAUUGGCUGGUCGGACAGAACCCUCUCAGAUUCUGAAGGCAUAAGAAGUAUGAUAUGAAUUCCUCAGAAGUUGGAUAUGUGACUAGUUGAUCAAGACUUCCCCAGAAGCUGGAGUGUAAUUCUGCAUUAGGGCUACAUAUUCUGAAAUCUCUGAGGACAGAAUGAGAAGAAACUCCAUACUAACUUCCCAGACCAUUUGAUGACUUUAACAGAGGCAAAGGGUGGCUGUGUACAUUCCUUUGGAAGGUUCUAUUCUCCUCAGUUGGUUUGAUUCUUGUGGAAUUUCUAACAUAAUACAUGUACCCUUGAUAAAAUUCUUCAUUGGAUCAUCUUUUAGAUAAAGGACAAGCAAAAAGAAAACUUCUCAGCAAUCAGAAAAUACAAGGUUAGAUUUCCCCCCCAUUUGAUAAACUCAGAGAGGUCAGAGCAUCCGGAGUGCAAUGAACAAUACUCCAGCUGGGAAAGCAUCUUGUGAUCGAUCAUCUGUCUCCCCUAUGAUCCAUUUGUGUACUUGGAUGAUAUUUUUCUUAGAAAUUGAGUUUUCUAUAGUUUCUGGCCCUUUAACUUCUAGUUUGUAAAAUUGACUGAACUCUCAUUCAUGCUUCAACUCAGUAUAUUUCCAAAAUCUGCACUUGCUCCUUGGGGGUAUUCAUUGGAUCCAGCAUCCAUGUCUCUCACCUCCACGAAGAGGUUGAGGAUGCAAGUAAAAGCCAAACAGAAGCUCACUGUAUGUGUAUGCCAUUUAAUGAAAAGCUGAACACUCAACUUUGUAAGAAAACAACAUCAAAAAACAUGCCCAGGCUGCUAAACUCCAAUUAAGAAAAAAAUCUAUCCAACUGCUGAGAAGGAAAAAUAAAUUUGUCUAAUUGCCCUACUUGGAAAUCUAAAGUUACAUUGCAUGGUGUGCACUUGAUUAAUAUAGAAGACAAGCUAUGUUUAUGGAGCCAGCAAACAGCUUCUCCAUGUUCCUGCCUCAUGGUUCCUGCACUGAGUUCCUGCUCUAAUUUCCUUCAGGAUGGGCUGUGACUGUGAAGGGUAAGCUAAAAUAAACUCCUCUGUCACAA
Molecule: long non-coding RNA, 1075 nt
Organism: Mastomys coucha (southern multimammate mouse)
Lineage: Eukaryota; Metazoa; Chordata; Mammalia; Rodentia; Muridae
Exons: 4
Source: RefSeq, a predicted model, not a curated record